UUGGAGGGCAAGUCUGGUGCCAGCAGCCGCGGUAAUUCCAGCUCCAAUAGCGUAUAUUAAAGUUGUUGCAGUUAAAAAGCUCGUAGUUGAAUUUCGGGAUUAGUACGCUGGUCGUGCCUUCGGUAUGUACUGGUGUUACUGGUUCCUACCUUCUGACGAACCGUCAUGUCAUUAAUUUGGUGUGGCGGGGAAUCAGGACUGUUACUUUGAAAAAAUUAGAGUGUUUAAAGCAGGCUCGCGCUUGAAUACAUUAGCAUGGAAUAACGAAAUAGGACGUUCGAUCCUAUUUUGUUGGUUUCUAGGAUCGACGUAAUGAUUAAUAGGGAUAGUUGGGGGCAUUAGUAUUCAAUUGUCAGAGGUGAAAUUCUUGGAUUUAUUGAAGACUAACUACUGCGAAAGCAUUUGCCAAGGAUGUUUUCAUUAAUCAAGAACGAAAGUUAGGGGAUCGAA
This 450-nucleotide ribosomal RNA is filed under the name uncultured Glomus. Its description in RNAcentral is "SSU rRNA". It matches the Rfam family "Eukaryotic small subunit ribosomal RNA", at positions 548 to 1002 of the family's 1831-position model. Lineage: Eukaryota; Fungi; Glomeromycota; Glomeromycetes; Glomerales; Glomeraceae. The record is from RNAcentral.